AUGUCGUCCAGCACGAUCCGGAAGGCGCUGGGCGCCGUCAAGGACCAGACCAGCAUCGGGCUCGCCAAGGUCACCAGCAACAUCGCGCCGGAGCUCGACGUGCUCAUCGUCAAGACCACCAGCCACGACGACGAGCCGGCCGAGGAGCGCCACAUCCGCGAGAUCCUCCACCUCACCUCCGGAUCCCGCGCCCACGUCGCCGCCGCGGUCGCCGGGUGCGCCCGCAGGCUCUCCCGCACCCGCGACUACGUCGUCGCCCUCAAGUCGCUCAUGCUCGUGCACCGUCUCCUCACCGACGGCGACCCCUUCUUCCACCGGGAGCUCCUCCACGCCACGCGCCGGGGCACCCGCCUCCUCAACCUCUCCGACUUCCGUGACGAGGCGCACUCUGGGUCGUGGGACCACUCCGCCUUCGUCCGCACCUAUGCGCUGUACCUCGACCAGCGCCUCGAGUUCCUCCUCCACGAGCGCAAGCAGGGCUCCAACGCUAAUGGAAGCGCCAGCCUGAACGGGCCAUCGCCGCGUGACCGUUGGGGUUCUCCUGACCCGUAUGGCCGCCGGUCACCCUCCUACACCUCCCCUCCGGGGAAUGGGUAUGGAGGGUACGAUGAUAACCGUGACAGCAGGAAUGGCGGGAACUCUGAUGACAAGAGGCCGCCGACCCCUGUGAGGGAUAUGAAGCCGGAGCGGGUCCUUGGCCGUAUGCACCACCUGCAGCAGCUGCUCGACAGGUUCCUUGCCUGCCGCCCCACGGGUGGCGCGAAGCAGAGCAGGAUGGUGCUGGUUGCACUGUAUCAGAUGGCGAGGGAGAGCUUCCAGCUCUACGCCGAUAUCUGUGAGGUACUUGCGGUGCUGCUGGACAGGUUCUUUGACAUGGAAUACGCUGAUUGUGUCAAGGCCUUCGAGGCAUAUGCCAGUGCGGCAAAGCAGAUUGAUGAGCUUUGCUCAUUUUAUGCUUGGUGUAAGGACACCGGGGUAGCGAGAUCAUCGGAGUACCCAGAGGUGCAGCGGGUCACUGAUAAGUUACUGGAGACAUUGGAGGAGUUUAUGAGGGACCGGGCAAAGCGCCCCAAGAGUCCACCACGGGAGCCUGAGCCUGAGCCGGUCAAGGAGGAAGAGCCAGAGCCGGACAUGAACAGCAUCAAGGCACUUCCUGCACCAGAGGACUACAAGGAGCCUGAACCUGAGAAGGUGGAGGAAGAGGUGAAGCCAGAGCCCCCGCCGCAGCCCCAGGGUGAUCUGGUGGAUCUUAGAGAAGACACUGUGAGUGCAGAUGAGCAAGGCAAUAGGCUUGCUCUGGCCCUCUUCCAAGGGCCACCUGCUGCUGGUGGUAGCAAUGGGUCAUGGGAGGCCUUCCCUUCCAAUGGUGGCAACGAAGUGACUUCUGCAUGGCAGAAUCCUGCGGCUGAGCCCGGUAAGGCUGAUUGGGAACUUGCCCUUGUGGAGACGGCUAGCAACUUGUCCAAGCAGAAGGCUGUAAUGACAGGUGGUAUGGAUAAUCUGCUACUGAAUGGUAUGUACGACCAAGGUGUUGUGCGUCAGCAUGUCAACGCACAGGCGACUAGUGGGAGCUCCAGCAGUGUUGCCCUACCUGCGCCUGGACAGAAGACACAGAUGCUGGCUCUUCCGGCACCAGACGGUUCGAUGCAGAACGUUGGUGGGGAUCCUUUUGCGGCAUCCCUUACCUUUGCACCACCAUCCUAUGUGCAGAUGGCCGAGAUGGAGAAGAAGCAGCAGUUCUUGACACAGGAGCAGAUGAUGUGGCAGCAGUACCAACGGGACGGCAUGCAGGGGCCGUCGAGCUUGGCCAAGCUCGAUCGGACCUACAACAAUGGCUUCGGCCCAAACCCAGCCAUGCCAUACGGGAUGCCAAACGCGCCAAUGGCGAAUACAGGGUAUUACUACCCCACUUACUGA
RNAcentral lists this ribosomal RNA (1917 nucleotides) under Triticum aestivum (bread wheat). RNAcentral describes it as "partial small subunit ribosomal RNA". The record is from RNAcentral. Lineage: Eukaryota; Viridiplantae; Streptophyta; Magnoliopsida; Poales; Poaceae.